Non-coding RNA from Vicia faba (fava bean), 318 nucleotides. The record is from the annotation of a GenBank genome assembly. NCBI's taxonomy places the organism in Eukaryota, Viridiplantae, Streptophyta, Magnoliopsida, Fabales, Fabaceae.
AUGCCUCAUCCAGAUUCGCGACUAACCACCUCAGCAUUACUCCAGCCAGUUCAUUCCUGCCAUAACCAAUCCAUAACCUGUAACAGAAAACCAAGAAAACUUCAAACAGAAAAUCAAAAACCAACUAACUGUCAAACACAUUCCCCAACCAUUUCUAACUACCUAACUUACCCCUAUAAAACAGAAAUUAGAUUCACAACAAAAGGGAUUGAUAACAAUAGGGAGAAAAUAAAAACUCACCAAGGAUCUGAGGACUCUCGCAGUAUUUCUCUACCAUCUCCUUUGCAUCAAGAUCUUCAUCAUCAUCGAACAAUCCUC